CUUGCCAGGUGUAAGCUUUCCAGAGUGGGUUCACAUGUGGUAAGGAGUGAAUGGGACGGUGUCAGACUCUCCACUGGUGCCACAGCCACCACAGAGAACCUCCAGGUCACCAGGUUUGCUCUGUGCUCACUGGUGCUGAGCACUGAUGGGCAGGGGCAGAAGGGGAGCAGAGGCUGCAAUUCCUGUCACAUCCCAGCCUCCAGAGCCUGGCUGAGCAUGGAGUGACCUUCAGCCUCUCUGGGGCCCAGGGGCUGCUUUUGUACACACAGCAGGCACCAAAGAUGAUCCAGGUUGUGGAUUACAUGUGAACUUCCAUGCAUUUUACUGAACUCCACUACUGUGAAUUCAG
Long non-coding RNA from Prinia subflava (tawny-flanked prinia), 349 nucleotides. RefSeq lists it as uncharacterized. NCBI's taxonomy places the organism in Eukaryota, Metazoa, Chordata, Aves, Passeriformes, Cisticolidae. The transcript is spliced from 3 exons. The record is from RefSeq and is a predicted model, not a curated record.